Felis catus (domestic cat) is the source of this 1875-nucleotide long non-coding RNA. RefSeq lists it as uncharacterized. The record is from RefSeq and is a predicted model, not a curated record. The transcript is spliced from 5 exons. NCBI's taxonomy places the organism in Eukaryota, Metazoa, Chordata, Mammalia, Carnivora, Felidae.
CUAGGUGGCACAGUUGGAGGGACGUCACUCCACAAGAGGGGGCAAGAGUGGCCUCACUAACUCAACGUCGCCUGUGAAAUGCGCCCACGAUGACCUUUAGCCGGGUGAUUUGGCAACUGCAUUUCCACAAUAAGAUAUUUUUGAGUGAGUUCAUGUGCUGAUACAUCAGUGUUGAACAGGAUAUAAUCCUUGCCUUCAAGGAGCUGAUAAUGGAGCUAUUGUUGGCAUUUCUUAAUUUGCCUCCUCAUCUGUAGAAGGAAAGUGUGAUGCUGAUGAUAUGUUACCAGCAUUUCAAUGCUCAAAUUUGGAAUCCAGGAGCAGAAUAGAAGUUCAACGUAUUAUUUCCUCACUCUGAUUUUACUAGUGUAUCCAUGAUUCUACAGCAAAGAAGCAUUCAGACUACUUGAGGAAGCCACUAUGCAUCGUUCGCUGUUGUAUUUUCUAAAGAAGAAAACUGACACUUAGUUUUGAGCUGAGCUUCCACUCCUCCAGUGAUUAAAAGCAUGGACUCUGGAGCCAGACAUCCUGGAUUCAUGGUCUAGUUCCACCUCUUAUUAGCUGCAUGACUUUGCCAAGUUACUUAAUCUUUCUGUGUUUCGUUUUCUUUAGUAAAGUGCGUUUUAACAGUACCUACUUCAUAGAGCUGUCAUGAGCAUUAAAACAGUUAAAAUACUUAAAGCUUAUAGUAGAGUGUCUAUAAAUAUAAAGAGCUAUAUAAGAUUUUGCUAUUAUUCUUAUACUCAAAUGUUUUACAUAUACCAUUUCUUCAAUUAGAAAUCCUAUUUCUUAAAGUCUUCCUUAGAGCCAGUAUGAUUUCAGAUUUCCCACUACUUUCAGCCUAGUAGAUCAGAGGUUUCUACCGAGCAUGUCCUCUUAAACCUGAGAGAAAAGCAGCACUCCAUACAUCAGAAAGGUUUUAGCAUUUGGUUCUGAUUCCCACAGCACUGUGCUACACUGUGUCACUCAGAACAAAGAUCAUGCUAAACAUAUUUAACCUCCCUUUUCAUUUUUGACAUCUUCAUCACUGCAGCCCAACACCUACCUAAGGUUAUAGCCAGCCUCUGGUGUUGGUGUUUGGAGCUAAUGGCAUAAUCCACAGAACCCAGGAGUUUCCUCCAUGGUAUUUGUGCAAAUCCUGCCAUCUCAAUCUUCUACAGAGCAGUUAACAAUAACUAGAGAAAUUCAAUCAUUGUUUUUCUUUUCAAAAAUUCUAAUGUAAUCCAACGAGCCAGACCCCUAAGAGCUAAGUCUUCAUACUCCACUGAGAAUUCUAUUUGCCAUAAUAUAUCAUAAUGUCUGAAUCAGAGGAGAUACAUUCAAUCAAUCAAGCAUUAUAUGUUCUUCCCCAACUCCACUCCCUUUAUCACCCUGGUAUCUUUCCACUGAGAUUUACCCUAAUGGUCUAUGGUUUCCAUAGAAAAUCAUCUAAACUAUUCUUAAGUCAGUACAGUCAGAAUAUGUCACAGAGAGAAGCACCAUUUUUUGUAAGAGAUAGUGGUACAAAGUUCUUAAAACUUAGAAAUCCUCAUCUGUUCCAGGGAAAAAAUAAUAUGAAAAAAUAAUAUAAGGAUGAGAGUCACAUCCUAUCUCCAGGAUUCUCAUGUGAGCCAUGAAAACUCAGCCUUCUAUGUACAAGUGUAGAGACCUACUACAUACGGUACAUAGCAAGAUUGGAAGCACACUGCAUAUGUCAUCAGUAUUGGGAAGGUACUAUAGCCCAUAUGGCUACAGAGUGAGAGUGAGUGAGGGAAGGCACAGAACACAGGCAUGAACACGCUCCUCAUUGGUCAUCUGUAGCUUCCUAAGCUAAUAAAACCCCAUCCAAGUGUGUUCUUGAACUCAGAGCUGUAGAGUUAGAACAAGAGUUACACGACA